GUUUCAAUAAUCUUACAAAUUUUUAAAUUGGCCUAAACUACUCCGCUGUUUAGCUGUUGUUGCCAUUCUGUCAACGUUAUAAAACAGCUCCCAUGUCGCAACGAGCUUUGAUAUCGCUAGGAAGACGUGAAAAUUACUCGUUUGACGGUGUUCCAAGAAUUUAAGACUACAAAUUUUUCAUCCCUUUUGUCUCGCAUGACGCAUUUCUUUGUUUUGCAAGCGCGUCGUCGAGCUGGCUGCGUCGUGAAUCGUAAACUCUCU
This is a non-coding RNA of Paramuricea clavata, 261 nucleotides long. The record is from the annotation of a GenBank genome assembly. Lineage: Eukaryota; Metazoa; Cnidaria; Anthozoa; Malacalcyonacea; Plexauridae.